Venturia canescens is the source of this 992-nucleotide long non-coding RNA. RefSeq lists it as uncharacterized. The record is from RefSeq and is a predicted model, not a curated record. The transcript has 3 exons. Lineage: Eukaryota; Metazoa; Arthropoda; Insecta; Hymenoptera; Ichneumonidae.
UAGAAACUUGAAACUUGAGAAGCCUCGUAUGGGCACAUGAUUAUCGAGUUUCGUUACCUGACAGAAUAAAAAACGGAAGAAAUUAUUUUUUAAACGAACUGAAUUUACUAACUGCUAAAAGUGAACGUCGAAAUUAUUCUUUUCCAGCAGAGCCUGCUUAUAAAAGUUGAACGCACCUUGACACUAGUGAAAUUUUCGUCCGUACUAAGUAACACAUUGCAGCUCAUAGAUUCGUCUGUCGUUUCGUUGUAUCGCUCUGUGGAACAUCUGCGUGGUAAAAAAAACCAGCUCCGUCGAUAUUCGCUCCACGCGCCCGAUUCGUGGAUCAUGUAUCCUAUGGAUCGACCAUUAUGGUUCAUUAUAUGCUGACACGAGUACGAGAAAUUCAGGUUUGAUAAAAUAAACAAAGCAUAAGGCCUCAGCUAAUGUUUGGAAAUAUUGACUCUUGAUCUUCAUAUUUAUGUUUGCCAGGACAAAAGCUGAAUAAGCUUGUAGUUAUUCCAGCAAUUUAAAACUGUUACAAAGGGAAAUUUACUGAAUAUGGAGGCUUCAAAAUUUGGUGAUCUUCUUGAUAAAGAUGAACGAUUCCAGUUGAAAAAAUUAAUUAUUAAAAAGAUUGAUGAGUAAUAAAAAAUGUCAUACCUGGAAAUUCGAUAUUCAACGAUUGCCUAAGCCUCUUGUAAUUUUUGGUCCAAUCGUAGGACCGUUUUUCACCACUAGGCGUUAUCACAUAUAUCCACAUGGGCUUGUUAUGCUCAAAUUCACCACCACUGGUUGUCCAUUCUUUGCCCAUGCUACCAACAUAGAGCAAUUGAUUUUUCACGGUCGCCCAUUCGGAUUUGAAACCUGAAAUAAAUGUGUUGAAUUCAACAGGAGAAACAAGAAAGAUCCAAAUCAUGAAGGUACCCGAGAAAAUUCCAUUAAUCCUGCUGUGUUCAAAAUGGGAAUGAAAUCAAUAAUAUAAGGAUAAAAACCUUUAGAAUUUUGUCCAU